GAUGAACGCUAGCGGCAGGCCUAACACAUGCAAGUCGAGGGGCAGCACAGAAACAGCAAUGUUUUGGUGGCGACCGGCGGACGGGUGCGUAACGCGUAUGCAACCUACCUUUAACAGGGGGAUAACGGAGAGAAAUUUCCACUAAUACCCCAUAACAUCGAUCAAGGCAUCUUGAUUGGUUGAAAACUCCGGUGGUUAAAGAUGGGCAUGCGUUGUAUUAGGUAGUUGGUGAGGUAAUGGCUCACCAAGCCUACGAUACAUAGGGGGACUGAGAGGUUAGCCCCCCAAACUGGUACUGAGACACGGACCAGACUACUCCGGAAGGCAGCAGUGAGGAAUAUUGGUCAAUGGGGGCAACCCUGAACCAGCCAUGCCGCGUGCAGGAAGACGGCUCUAUGAGUUGUAAACUGCUUUUAAACAGGGAUAAAGCACAGUAUGUAUACUGUGUUGAAGGUACUGUAAGAAUAAGGAUCGGCUAACUCCGUGCCAGCAGCCGCCGUAA
This 502-nucleotide ribosomal RNA is filed under the name uncultured bacterium. RNAcentral's name for it is "partial 16S ribosomal RNA". It matches the Rfam family "Bacterial small subunit ribosomal RNA", at positions 28 to 523 of the family's 1533-position model. The record is from RNAcentral.